UACGGAAGCAGCAGUGGGGAAUAUUGCACAAUGGGCGCAAGCCUGAUGCAGCCAUGCCGCGUGUAUGAAAAAGGCCCUUCGGGUUGUAAAGUACUUUUCAGUCGUGAGGAAGGUGUUAAGGUUAAUAACCUUAGCAAUUGACGUUAGCGACAGAAGAAGCACCGGCUAACUCCGUGCCAGCAGCCGCGGUAAUACGGAGGGUGCGAGCGUUAAUCGGAAUUACUGGGCGUAAAGGGCACGCAGGCGGUUAAUUAAGUUGGAUGUGAAAUCCCCGGGCUUAACCUGGGAAUGGCAUUCAAGACUGGUUAGCUAGAGUCUUGUAGAGGGGGUAGAAUUCCAUGUGUAGCGGUGAAAUGCGUAGAGAUGUGGAGGAAUACCGGUGGCGAAGGCGGCCCCUGGACAAAGACUGACGCUCAUGUGCGAAAGCGUGGGGAGCAAAC
This 440-nucleotide ribosomal RNA is filed under the name uncultured bacterium. Its description in RNAcentral is "bacterial SSU rRNA". It matches the Rfam family "Bacterial small subunit ribosomal RNA", at positions 340 to 773 of the family's 1533-position model. The record is from RNAcentral.